AUUGAACGCUAGCGGCAGGCCUAACACAUGCAAGUCGAGGGGUAGUUGUCUUCGGACAAUGAGACCGGCGCACGGGUGCGUAACGCGUAUGCAAUCUACCUUAUACUAAGGGAUAGCCCAGAGAAAUUUGGAUUAAUACCUUAUAGUUAAUAGAGUUGGCAUCGACUUUAUUAUAAAGAUUAAUUGGUAAAAGAUGAGCAUGCGUCCCAUUAGUUAGUUGGUAAGGUAACGGCUUACCAAGACGAUGAUGGGUAGGGGUCCUGAGAGGGAGAUCCCCCACACUGGUACUGAGACACGGACCAGACUCCUACGGGAGGCAGCAGUGAGGAAUAUUGGUCAAUGGGCGCAAGCCUGAACCAGCCAUGCCGCGUGCAGGAUGAAGCAUCUAUGGUGUGUAAACUGCUUUUGUACGGGAAGAAAAAAAGCUACGUGUAGCUUACUGACGGUACCGUAAGAAUGAGGAUCGGCUAACUCCGUGCCAGCCGCCGCAGUAA
Molecule: ribosomal RNA, 494 nt
Filed under: uncultured bacterium
Lineage: Bacteria
Description: partial 16S ribosomal RNA
Rfam family: Bacterial small subunit ribosomal RNA
Source: RNAcentral